UUUCACUAUAAUGAAUCGAAAAAGAGUAUAUAAGAGCAACUCCAAUGCUCUCAUUUAGGCGCUCAAAUUUUGAGAUUAUCGAAUCCAUUCUCAAAUCUAGCAGCUGUCAAUAAUUUUUUGACAAUUCUCUUAUUGCUCUGUACGACGCCGUAUCGUAUCUCUUUCCUCAAUCCUAUCCGUCUCUCUGCUGUCCCUUUCGUUGCAUUCUAUGCCCUAUCGUAUCUCUCUCCCUCUCCUCUGCAACGACCGGCAAUCAUCAACGGCGACCGGCGCUUAAAGGCGACGAACACCGACCAGAAGUCAGACAUCACUGACCAAUCAAAUGACUUUGAAGGUGAUGGAGAUGAUGAUACAGACAGUGCAAACCUCACGAAGCUUAUACAUUUCUGGUUUCUAAGGUUAGUAUUGCUAGGAUUGAUCUGCUCAGAUCAUUGAAGAGUUGUUUGAUCUCUGAAGUUGUGUAGCUCGUGAAUAACCCCCAAUUAAGAUUUCAGCCCAUAAUCCAGAUAUUGGGCUAUGAUGUAUGUUCUGCUACUUUGUCUUGUCGGAGAAAGAACUUCAUUUUAUAUUUGUGUUAGUAUAUAUUGGUUUCAAUUUUUAUC
Molecule: long non-coding RNA, 602 nt
Organism: Cornus florida
Lineage: Eukaryota; Viridiplantae; Streptophyta; Magnoliopsida; Cornales; Cornaceae
Exons: 2
Source: RefSeq, a predicted model, not a curated record